RNAcentral lists this ribosomal RNA (500 nucleotides) under uncultured Glomeromycotina. Its description in RNAcentral is "partial small subunit ribosomal RNA". It matches the Rfam family "Eukaryotic small subunit ribosomal RNA", at positions 591 to 1092 of the family's 1831-position model. The record is from RNAcentral. Lineage: Eukaryota; Fungi; Glomeromycota.
CCAAUAGCGUAUAUUAAAGUUGUUGCAGUUAAAAAGCUCGUAGUUGAAUUUCGGGGUCAGCAGGUUGGUCGUGCCACUGGUAUGCACUGGCCUCGCUGAUUCCUCCCUCUUGUAGAACCGUAAUGCCAUUAAGUUGGUGUUGCGGGGAGACAGGACUGUUACUUUGAAAAAAUUAGAGUGUUUAAAGCAGGCUAACGCUUGAAUACAUUAGCAUGGAAUAAUGAAAUAGGACGAUCGAUCCUAUUUUGUUGGUUUCUAGGGUUGACGUAAUGAUUAAUAGGGAUAGUUGGGGGCAUUAGUAUUCAAUUGUCAGAGGUGAAAUUCUUGGAUUUAUUGAAGACUGACUACUGCGAAAGCAUUUGCCAAGGAUGUUUUCAUUAAUCAAGAACGAAAGUUAGGGGAUCGAAGACGAUCAGAUACCGUCGUAGUCUUAACCAUAAACUAUGCCGACUAGGGAUCGGAUGAUGUUAAUUUUUUAAUGACUCAUUCGGCGCCUUACG